RNAcentral lists this unclassified non-coding RNA (354 nucleotides) under soil metagenome. RNAcentral's name for it is "partial contains 5.8S ribosomal RNA, internal transcribed spacer 2, and large subunit ribosomal RNA". The stretch from base 2 to 121 matches the Rfam family "5.8S ribosomal RNA", at positions 35 to 154 of the family's 154-position model. The record is from RNAcentral.
GGAUGAAGAACGUAGCGAACUGCGAUAAGUAAUGUGAAUUGCAGAAUUCAGUGAAUCAUCGAGUCUUUGAACGCACAUUGCGCCCCCUGGUAUUCCGGGGGGCAUGCCUGUCCGAGCGUCAUUGCUGCCCUCAAGCCCGGCUUGUGUGUUGGGCCGUCGUCCCCCCCCUCCCGGGGGGACGGGCCCGAAAGGCAGCGGCGGCACCGCGUCCGGUCCUCGAGCGUAUGGGGCUUUGUCACCCGCUCGAUUAGGGCCGGCCGGGCGCCUGCCGGCGUCUCCAACCAAUCUUCUUCAGGUUGACCUCGGAUCAGGUAGGGAUACCCGCUGAACUUAAGCAUAUCAAUAAGCGGAGGA